GACGAACGCUGGCGGCGUGCUUAACACAUGCAAGUCGAACGGAAAGGCCCCCACUUUUUUGGUGGGGGUGCUCGAGUGGCGAACGGGUGAGUAACACGUGGGUGAUCUGCCCUGUACUUCGGGAUAAGCUUGGGAAACUGGGUCUAAUACCGGAUAGGACCAUGGUUUAGUGUCUCAUGGUGGAGAGAUUAUUGUUUUGGUGCAGGAUGAGCUCGCGGCCUAUCAGCUUGUUGGUGGGGUAAUGGCCUACCAAGGCGUCGACGGGUAGCCGGCCUGAGAGGGUGGACGGCCACAUUGGGACUGAGAUACGGCCCAGACUCCUACGGGAGGCAGCAGUGGGGAAUAUUGCGCAAUGGGCGCAAGCCUGAUGCAGCGACGCCGCGUGGGGGAUGACGGCCUUCGGGUUGUAAACUCCUUUCGUUAGGGACGAAGCCACAUUUUUUUGGGUGUGGUGACGGUACCUUUGUUAAGAAGCACCGGCUAACUACGUGCCAGCAGCCGCGGUAAUACGUAGGGUGCGAGCGUUGUCCGGAAUUACUGGGCGUAAAGAGCUCGUAGGUGGUUUGUUGCGUCGUCUGUGAAAUUCCGGGGCUUAACUUCGGGGUGGCAGGCGAUACGGGCAUAACUAGAGUGCUGUAGGGGAGACUGGAAUUCCUGGUGUAGCGGUGGAAUGCGCAGAUAUCAGGAGGAACACCGAUGGCGAAGGCAGGUCUCUGGGCAGUAACUGACGCUGAGGAGCGAAAGCAUGGGGAGCGAACAGGAUUAGAUACCCUGGUAGUCCAUGCUGUAAACGGUGGGCGUUAGGUGUGGGGACCGGUUUGGUUUCUGUGCCGUAGCUAACGCAUUAAGCGCCCCGCCUGGGGAGUACGGCCGCAAGGCUAAAACUCAAAGGAAUUGACGGGGGCCCGCACAAGCGGCGGAGCAUGUGGAUUAAUUCGAUGCAACGCGAAGAACCUUACCUGGGUUUGACAUGCACCAGACGGUUGUAGAGAUACGUACCUCCCUUUGUGGUUGGUGUGCAGGUGGUGCAUGGUUGUCGUCAGCUCGUGUCGUGAGAUGUUGGGUUAAGUCCCGCAACGAGCGCAACCCUUGUCUUAUGUUGCCAGCACUUUGGGUGGGGACUCAUGAGAGACUGCCGGGGUUAACUCGGAGGAAGGUGGGGAUGACGUCAAAUCAUCAUGCCCUUUAUGCCCAGGGCUUCACACAUGCUACAAUGGUUAGUACAACGCGCUGCGAACCUGUGAGGGUGAGCGAAUCGCUGAAAGCUAAUCUCAGUUCGGAUUGGGGUCUGCAACUCGACCCCAUGAAGUCGGAGUCGCUAGUAAUCGCAGAUCAGCAAUGCUGCGGUGAAUACGUUCCCGGGCCU
This 1366-nucleotide ribosomal RNA is filed under the name uncultured bacterium. RNAcentral describes it as "bacterial SSU rRNA". It matches the Rfam family "Bacterial small subunit ribosomal RNA", at positions 28 to 1381 of the family's 1533-position model. The record is from RNAcentral.